Molecule: long non-coding RNA, 651 nt
Organism: Nilaparvata lugens (brown planthopper)
Lineage: Eukaryota; Metazoa; Arthropoda; Insecta; Hemiptera; Delphacidae
Exons: 2
Source: RefSeq, a predicted model, not a curated record
GAUUGGCAAUGGUGUAAUAACCGAAACCGGUCUUUCUAAUUAUCAAUAAAUCAGUGGUUUUUUGACAAUUUCUUAGUCUUUUUCAUUCAAUCUUAUAGUACUCUUUAUGAGUUAUGCCCAAAGAUUUACGAUAAUAAUCCAUUAGAAUUAAGUGUCCUAGAAGCCGAGCCUAAGGCCCAUAUGCACCAUCUCUAUUUAAACGUAGAUUGGUCAGUUGUUGGUUCAAACCAGGAAUGUAAUACAUUAUAAUAAAUGCGACCAUAUCUUUGUGUAAACCAAGAUUAGAAUUAAAAGAAGAUGGAUAAGCAGAUCCUUGGGAGAAUAUGCAUCAUCUCAGUUAAAACGGCGAUAAAACAGUCGUUGGUUUAAACCAGGUAUAUACAACAUUAUAAUAAAAUGUGACAUAUCUUCAUGUAAACAAACCUAGAUGGUGCAUAUGAGCCUUACACAGAUUAACCAGACAGGUUGAUACAGAUUGAGAAAAUUAGUAUGUAACUAAUAAUGCAGGUUCACCAAGGCCCAUAUGCAUAAUCUCGGUUUGAACCUAGAUUAGCGUUAAAAGUAGAUGGUCCAUAAGAUCCUUGAGAACAUAUGCACCAUCUCAGUUUUAACGGCGAUGAAUCAGUUGAUAGUUAAAACUAGAAAUAAUGU